This 752-nucleotide ribosomal RNA is filed under the name uncultured bacterium. RNAcentral describes it as "partial 16S ribosomal RNA". It matches the Rfam family "Bacterial small subunit ribosomal RNA", at positions 62 to 804 of the family's 1533-position model. The record is from RNAcentral.
UCGAACGCGGUUUUUGGUUUCGGCCAGGGACCGAGUGGCGGACGGGUGAGUAACACGUGGAUGACCUGCCCUACCUGUGGGGGAUAGCCUUCAGAAAUGAGGGAUAAUGCCGCAUACGGUGGAGGGGAGUGGGAGCACUUUCUUUCACGGAAGCUUUUGCAGUGCAAGCUGUGGGGGCGCAGGAGGAGGGGUCCGCGGCCGAUUAGCUAGUUGGGGGGGUAAGAGCCUCCCAAGGCGACGAUCGGUAGCUGGUCUGAGAGGAUGGUCAGCCACACUGGGAUUGAGAACGGCCCAGACUCCUACGGGGGGCAGCAGUGAGGGAUCUUCGGCAAUGGGGGCAACCCUGACCGAGCAACGCCGCGUGCGGGACGACGCCUUUCGGGGUGUAAACCGCUUUUCUGGGGGACGAGGCAGUACGGACGGUACCCCAGGAAGAAGUCUCGGCUAACUACGUGCCAGCAGCCGCGGUAAUACGUAGGAGACGAGCGUUGUCCGGAGUUACUGGGCGUAAAGGGUGCGCAGGUGGCCUGGCGCGUGGGGGGUGAAAUCGCCCGGCUUAACUGGGCGGGGGCCUUCCAGACGGCGAGGCUUGCGCAACGGAGGGGGGCGUGGAAUUCCGGGUGGAGCGGUGAAAUGCGUAGAGAUCCGGAGGAACACCGACGGCGCAGGCAGCGCCCUGGCCGUUUGCUGACACUGAGGCACGAAAGCUGGGGGAGCAAACAGGAUUAGAUACCCUGGUAGUCCCAGCCGUA